AGGCAGACGGCUCAGUAACGCGUAGUCAACCUACCCUAUGGACGGGAAUAAUCUCGGGAAACUGAGCAUAAUACCCGGCGUACCACCAUUCCUGGAAUGGUUGGCGGUUAAAAUGAUUCGUCGCCGUAGGAUGGGACUGCGACCUAUCAGCUUGUUGGUGAGGUAAAGGCCCACCAAGGCGAUUACAGGUACGGGCUCUGAGAGGAGAAGCCCGGAGAUGGGUACUGAGACACGGACCCAGGCCCUAUGGGGCGCAGCAGGCGAGAAAACUUUGCAAUGCGCGAAAGCACGACAAGGUUAAUCCGAGUGAUUUCUGCUAAAGGAAUCUUUUGCCAGUUCUAAAAAUACUAGUGAAUAAGGGGUGGGCAAGUUCUGGUGUCAGCCGCCGCGGUAAAACCAGCACCUCAAGUGGUCAGGAGGAUUAUUGGGCCUGAAGCAUCCGUAGCCUGCUCUGUAAGUUUUCGGUUAAAUCUAUAUGCUCAACGUAUAGGCUGCCGAAAAUACUGCAGUGCUAGGAAGUGGGAGAGGUAGACGGUACUUGAUAGGAAGGGGUAAAAUCCUUUGAUCUAUCGAUGACCACCUGUGGCGAAGGCGGUCUACCAGAACA
This 607-nucleotide ribosomal RNA is filed under the name uncultured archaeon. Its description in RNAcentral is "bacterial SSU rRNA". It matches the Rfam family "Archaeal small subunit ribosomal RNA", at positions 79 to 687 of the family's 1478-position model. The record is from RNAcentral.